RNAcentral lists this ribosomal RNA (550 nucleotides) under uncultured bacterium. RNAcentral's name for it is "bacterial SSU rRNA". It matches the Rfam family "Bacterial small subunit ribosomal RNA", at positions 355 to 896 of the family's 1533-position model. The record is from RNAcentral.
UAGGGANUCUUCGGCAAUGGACGGAAGUCUGACCGAGCAACGCCGCGUGAGUGAAGAAGGUUUUCGGAUCGUAAAGCUCUGUUGUAAGAGAAGAACGAGUGUGAGAGUGGAAAGUUCACACUGUGACGGUAUCUUACCAGAAAGGGACGGCUAACUACGUGCCAGCAGCCGCGGUAAUACGUAGGUCCCGAGCGUUGUCCGGAUUUAUUGGGCGUAAAGCGAGCGCAGGCGGUUAGAUAAGUCUGAAGUUAAAGGCUGUGGCUUAACCAUAGUACGCUUUGGAAACUGUUUAACUUGAGUGCAAGAGGGGAGAGUGGAAUUCCAUGUGUAGCGGUGAAAUGCGUAGAUAUAUGGAGGAACACCGGUGGCGAAAGCGGCUCUCUGGCUUGUAACUGACGCUGAGGCUCGAAAGCGUGGGGAGCAAACAGGAUUAGAUACCCUGGUAGUCCACGCCGUAAACGAUGAGUGCUAGGUGUUAGACCCUUUCCGGGGUUUAGUGCCGUAGCUAACGCAUUAAGCACUCCGCCUGGGGAGUACGACCGCAAGGUUG